Molecule: ribosomal RNA, 497 nt
Filed under: uncultured bacterium
Lineage: Bacteria
Description: partial 16S ribosomal RNA
Rfam family: Bacterial small subunit ribosomal RNA
Source: RNAcentral
GAUGAACGCUGGCGGCGUGCCUAAUACAUGCAAGUCGAGCGAACAGACGAGGAGCUUGCUCCUCUGACGUUAGCGGCGGACGGGUGAGUAACACGUGGAUACCCUACCUAUAAGACUGGGAUAACUUCGGGAAACCGGAGCUAAUACCGGAUAAUAUAUUGAACCGCAUGGUUCAAUAGUGAAAGACGGUUUUGCUGUCACUUAUCGAUGGAUCCGCGCCGCAUUAGCUAGUUGGUAAGGUAACGGCUUACCAAGGGGACGAUGCGUAGCCGACCUGCGAGGGGGAUCGGCCACACUGGAGCUGAGACACGGUCCAGGCUCCUACGGGAGGCAGCAGUAGGGAAUCGUCCGCAAUGGGCGAAAGCCUGACGGAGCGACGCCGCGUGAGUGAUGAAAAUCUUCGGAUCGGAAAACUCUGUUAUUAGGGAAGAACAAAUGUGUAAGUAACUAUGCACGUCUUGACGGUACCUAAUCAGAAAGCCACGGCUAACUACGUG